AAAUUUGAAGGAUAUUCGACACGGUCAGAUGAUGCGGGCUUACGACAAAUGGGGUUCAUCCUAAAGAAUUGAGGACCUGGUGUUGAAGAAGAUCCUUUGUUUACAAAAGGGCUUUAAAGGAAAGUGGAUGCCAAACUAGGAAGGACCUUAUGUAAUAAGGAAGGACCUUAUAUAAUACAGAAGGCCUGUUCUGGAAGAGCAUUGAUAUUGUCCGAAAUGGAUGGUAAGAACCUGCCCAAUUCGGUGAAUUCAGAUUUAGUCACAGUUAAUAAUUUAAAAUAAAACACAAAAAAGAAAAGAAAAAGAAAUUAGAGGCGCAAAGACGAAAACCCGUAAAUGGCACCUUGAGUCCAAAAGGGAUUUGAGUUGAAAACCUGAAAAGGGUGGCUCAAGUUUGGAUCAAAGUGGGGCAUACAAUAGUCUUGCUAUGUCUGAAUUAACAAUGAAGAAGUAUGCCACGUCUUGGGGCAUCGACAAAGUACUCCGGAUUCCCUAAACACAAAUUGAGCUCAAAAUGGUCCUCAAGAAGUUGGUACAAAGAAGCUCAAGCUGCGAUAUCUAGGGCAUCUAGUUUUCCAUUU
Molecule: long non-coding RNA, 581 nt
Filed under: Gossypium barbadense (sea-island cotton)
Lineage: Eukaryota; Viridiplantae; Streptophyta; Magnoliopsida; Malvales; Malvaceae
Description: long non-coding RNA (GBAR_LNC008835)
Source: RNAcentral